Molecule: ribosomal RNA, 254 nt
Filed under: uncultured bacterium
Lineage: Bacteria
Description: partial 16S ribosomal RNA
Rfam family: Bacterial small subunit ribosomal RNA
Source: RNAcentral
UACGGGGGGAGCAAGCGUUGUUCGGAUUUACUGGGCGUAAAGGGCGCGUAGGCGGCCAGCACAAGUCAGUUGUGAAAUCUCCGAGCUUAACUCGGAAAGGUCAACUGAUACUGUGCGGCUAGAGUGCGGAAGGGGCAACUGGAAUUCUUGGUGUAGCGGUGAAAUGCGUAGAUACCAAGAGGAACACCUGCGGCGAAGGCGGGUUGCUGGGCCGACACUGACGCUGAGGCGCGAAAGCCAGGGGAGCGAACGGG